Molecule: ribosomal RNA, 406 nt
Filed under: uncultured bacterium
Lineage: Bacteria
Description: partial 16S ribosomal RNA
Rfam family: Bacterial small subunit ribosomal RNA
Source: RNAcentral
AUUGAACGCUGGCGGCAGGCUUAACACAUGCAAGUCGAGCGAGCGGCGGACGGGUGAGUUGUGUCUGGGAAACUGCCUGAUGGAGGGGGAUAUAUACUGGACACGGUAGCUAAUACCGCAAACCAUCAGAUGUGCCUAGAUGGGAUUAGCUAGUGGGUGGGGUAAUGGCUCACAUAGGCGACGAUCCCUAGCUGGUCUGAGAGGAUGACCAUCCACACUGGAACUGAGACACGGUCCAGACUCCUACGGGAGGCAGCAGUGGGGAAUAUUGCACAAUGGGCGCAAGCCUGAUGCAGCCAUGCCGCGUGUGUGAAGAAGGCCUUCGGGUUGUAAAGCACUUUCAGCGAGGAGGCGUUACUCGCAGAAGAAGCACCGGCUAACUCCGUGCCAGCAGCCGCGGUAAUUC